RNAcentral lists this ribosomal RNA (252 nucleotides) under uncultured bacterium. RNAcentral describes it as "partial 16S ribosomal RNA". It matches the Rfam family "Bacterial small subunit ribosomal RNA", at positions 524 to 776 of the family's 1533-position model. The record is from RNAcentral.
UACGAAGGGGGCUAGCGUUGCUCGGAAUCACUGGGCGUAAAGCGCACGUAGGCGGCUUUCUAAGUCAGGGGUGAAAUCCCGGAGCUCAACUCCGGAACUGCCUUUGAUACUGGAAAGCUUGAGUUCGGAGAGGUGAGUGGAACUGCGAGUGUAGAGGUGAAAUUCGUAGAUAUUCGCAAGAACACCAGUGGCGAAGGCGGCUCACUGGCCCGAUACUGACGCUGAGGUGCGAAAGCGUGGGGAGCAAACAGG